This 85-nucleotide transfer RNA is filed under the name Candidatus Pacearchaeota archaeon. Its description in RNAcentral is "tRNA-Leu". It matches the Rfam family "tRNA". Rfam says of the family: Transfer RNA (tRNA) molecules are approximately 80 nucleotides in length. The record is from RNAcentral. Lineage: Archaea; Nanobdellati.
GUGGGUGUGCCGGAGUGGUCAAACGGGGAAGCCUCAAGAGCUUCUGUGCUUAGUGCCUUCCUAGGUUCGAAUCCUAGCACCCACA